Molecule: ribosomal RNA, 497 nt
Filed under: uncultured bacterium
Lineage: Bacteria
Description: partial 16S ribosomal RNA
Rfam family: Bacterial small subunit ribosomal RNA
Source: RNAcentral
GAUGAACGCUGGCGGCGUGCCUAAUACAUGCAAGUCGAGCGAACGGACGAGAAGCUUGCUUCUCUGAUGUUAGCGGCGGACGGGUGAGUAACACGUGGAUACCCUACCUAUAAGACUGGGAUAACUUCGGGAAACCGUAGCUAAUACCGGAUAAUAUUUUGAACCGCAUGGUUCAAAAGUGAAAGACGGUCUUGCUGUCACUUAUAGAUGGAUCCGCGCUGCAUUAGCUAGUUGGUAAGGUAACGGCUUACCAAGGCAACGAUGCAUAGCCGACCUGAGAGGGUGAUCGGCCACACUGGAACUGAGACACGGUCCAGACUCCUACGGGAGGCAGCAGUAGGGAAUCUUCCGCAAUGGGCGAAAGCCUGACGGAGCAACGCCGCGUGAGUGAUGAAGGUCUUCGGAUCGUAAAACUCUGUUAUUAGGGAAGAACAUAUGUGUAAGUAACUGUGCACAUCUUGACGGUACCUAAUCAGAAAGCCACGGCUAACUACGUG